CGCUGGCGGCGUGCCUAACACAUGCAAGUCGAACGAGAAUCGAUGGACAGAGACUUCGGUCAAAGAAAGUUGAGGAAAGUGGCGAACGGGUGAGUAACGCGUGAGGAACCUACCUUUCAGUGGGGGACAACAGUUGGAAACGACUGCUAAUACCGCAUAAUGUAUCGAGAAGGCAUCUUCUUGAUACCAAAGCUUUAUGUGCUGAAAGAUGCCGGGUCGCGUCUGAUUAGCUAGUUGGUGGGGUAACGGCUCACCAAGGCGACGAUCAGUAGCCGGUCUGAGAGGAUGAACGGCCACAUUGGGACUGAGAUACGGCCCAGACUCCUACGGGAGGCAGCAGUGGGGGAUAUUGGGCAAUGGGCGAAAGCCUGACCCAGCGACGCCGCGUGAAGGAAGAAGGCCUUCGGGUUGUAAACUUCUUUUACCAGGGACGAAGAACGUGACGGUACCUGGAGAAAAAGCAACGGCUAACUACGUG
Molecule: ribosomal RNA, 478 nt
Filed under: uncultured bacterium
Lineage: Bacteria
Description: bacterial SSU rRNA
Rfam family: Bacterial small subunit ribosomal RNA
Source: RNAcentral